AGAUUGAACGCUGGCGGCAUGCCUUACACAUGCAAGUCGAACGGCAGCACGGGGGCAACCCUGGUGGCGAGUGGCGAACGGGUGAGUAAUAUAUCGGAACGUGCCCUGGAGUGGGGGAUAGCUCGGCGAAAGCCGGAUUAAUACCGCAUACGAUCUAUGGAUGAAAGUGGGGGAUCGCAAGACCUCAUGCUCCUGGAGCGGCCGAUAUCUGAUUAGCUAGUUGGUGGGGUAAAGGCCUACCAAGGCAUCGAUCAGUAGCUGGUCUGAGAGGACGACCAGCCACACUGGAACUGAGACACGGUCCAGACUCCUAGGGAGGCAGCAGUGGGGAAUUUUGGACAAGU
This 344-nucleotide ribosomal RNA is filed under the name uncultured soil bacterium. RNAcentral describes it as "bacterial SSU rRNA". It matches the Rfam family "Bacterial small subunit ribosomal RNA", at positions 26 to 373 of the family's 1533-position model. The record is from RNAcentral.